This 1442-nucleotide ribosomal RNA is filed under the name uncultured delta proteobacterium. RNAcentral describes it as "bacterial SSU rRNA". It matches the Rfam family "Bacterial small subunit ribosomal RNA". The record is from RNAcentral. Lineage: Bacteria; Deltaproteobacteria.
AAUCAACGCUGGCGGCGUGCCUCAGACAUGCAAGUCGAACGAUUAAACUUUCCUUCGGGGAAGAUAUAAAGUGGCGCACGGGUGAGUAACACGUAAGUAAUCUACCUUCGAGUGGGGAAUAACGUUCGGAAACGAACGCUAAUACCGCAUAAUGCAGCGGCAUCGCAAGAUGACAGUUGUUAAAGAUUUAUCGCUUGAAGAGGAGCUUGCGGCAGAUUAGCUAGUUGGUAAGGUAACGGCUUACCAAGGCGACGAUCUGUAUCCGGUCUAAGAGGACGGUCGGACACACUGACACUGAAUAACGGGUCAGACUCCUACGGGAGGCAGCAGUCGGGAAUUUUGGGCAAUGGGCGAAACCCUGACGCAGCAACGCCGCGUGGGUGAAGAAGGCCUUCGGGUUGUAAAACCCUUUUAGCAGGGAAGAAAAAAAUGACGGUACCUGCAGAAAAAGCACCGGCUAACUACGUGCCAGCAGCCGCGGUAAUACGUAGGGUGCAAGCGUUAUUCGGAAUUACUGGGCGUAAAGCGCGUGUAGGCGGCUUAUUAAGUCCGAUGUGAAAUCCCUGGACUCAAUUCAGGAAGUGCAUCGGAUACUGGUAGGCUGGAGUACAGGAGAGGAGAGCGGAAUUCCAGGUGUAGAGGUGAAAUUCGUAGAUAUCUGGAGGAACAACAGAGGCGAAGGCGGCUCUCUGGACUGUAACUGACGCUGAGACGCGAAAGCGUGGGGAGCAAACAGGAUUAGAUACCCUGGUAGUCCACGCCGUAAACGAUGAACACUAGAUGUCGGGAGUUCUUACCCUCUCGGUGUCGCAGCUAACGCGGUAAGUGUUCCGCCUGGGGAUUACGGUCGCAAGAUUAAAACUCAAAGAAAUUGACGGGGGCCCGCACAAGCGGUGGAGUAUGUGGUUUAAUUCGAUGCAACGCGAAAAACCUUACCUGGGCUUGACAUCCCACGCUAUCCGGUGAAAGUCGGAGUUCCCUUCGGGGACGUGGUGACAGGUGCUGCAUGGCUGUCGUCAGCUCGUGUCGUGAGAUGUUGGGUUAAGUCCCGCAACGAGCGCAACCCUUGCUAUUAGUUGCCAGCAUUAAGUUGGGCACUCUAAUAGGACCGCUUGCCGAUAAGGCAGAGGAAGGUGGGGAUGACGUCAAGUCCGCAUGGCCCUUACGUCCAGGGCUACACACGUACUACAAUGGCCAAUACAAAGCGUCGCAAGGCCGCAAGGUCAAGCUAAUCGCAAAAAGUUGGUCUCAGUUCGGAUUGGACUCUGCAACUCGAGUCCAUGAAGCUGGAAUCGCUAGUAAUCGCGGAUCAGCAUGCCGCGGUGAAUACGUUCCCGGGCCUUGUACACACCGCCCGUCACGCCAUGGGAGUUGGUGUUGCUUGAAGAGGCAGAGCUAACCUUCGGGGGGCAUGUCUUAAUGGCAGUACUGAUGACUGGGGU